This 470-nucleotide small RNA is filed under the name Lodderomyces parapsilosis. RNAcentral describes it as "eukaryotic LSU rRNA". The stretch from base 159 to 312 matches the Rfam family "5.8S ribosomal RNA". Lineage: Eukaryota; Fungi; Ascomycota; Pichiomycetes; Serinales; Debaryomycetaceae. The record is from RNAcentral.
GAUCAUUACAGAAUGAAAAGUGCUUAACUGCAUUUUUUCUUACACAUGUGUUUUUCUCUUUUUGAAAACUUUGCUUUGGUAGGCCUUCUAUAUGGGGCCUGCCAGAGAUUAAACUCAACCAAAUUUUAUUUAAUGUCAACCGAUUAUUUAAUAGUCAAAACUUUCAACAACGGAUCUCUUGGUUCUCGCAUCGAUGAAGAACGCAGCGAAAUGCGAUAAGUAAUAUGAAUUGCAGAUAUUCGUGAAUCAUCGAAUCUUUGAACGCACAUUGCGCCCUUUGGUAUUCCAAAGGGCAUGCCUGUUUGAGCGUCAUUUCUCCCUCAAACCCUCGGGUUUGGUGUUGAGCGAUACGCUGGGUUUGCUUGAAAGAAAGGCGGAGUAUAAACUAAUGGAUAGGUUUUUUCCACUCAUUGGUACAAACUCCAAAACUUCUUCCAAAUUCGACCUCAAAUCAGGUAGGACUACCCGCU